CCUACGGGAGGCUGCAGUGGGGAAUAUUGCACAAUGGGCGCAAGCCUGAUGCAGCCAUGCCGCGUGUAUGAAGAAGGCCUUCGGGUUGUAAAGUACUUUCAGCGAGGAGGAAGGCAUUGAGGUUAAUAACCUCAGUGAUUGACGUUACUCGCAGAAGAAGCACCGGCUAACUCCGUGCCAGCAGCCGCGGUAAUACGGAGGGUGCAAGCGUUAAUCGGAAUUACUGGGCGUAAAGCGCACGCAGGCGGUCUGUCAAGUCGGAUGUGAAAUCCCCGGGCUCAACCUGGGAACUGCAUUCGAAACUGGCAGGCUAGAGUCUUGUAGAGGGGGGUAGAAUUCCAGGUGUAGCGGUGAAAUGCGUAGAGAUCUGGAGGAAUACCGGUGGCGAAGGCGGCCCCCUGGACAAAGACUGACGCUCAGGUGCGAAAGCGUGGGGAGCAAACAGGAUUAGAUACCCCGGUAGUC
RNAcentral lists this ribosomal RNA (465 nucleotides) under uncultured bacterium. RNAcentral describes it as "bacterial SSU rRNA". It matches the Rfam family "Bacterial small subunit ribosomal RNA", at positions 338 to 795 of the family's 1533-position model. The record is from RNAcentral.